GAGGUCUUAGCUUAAUUAAAGUGUCUGAGUUGCAUUCAGGAGAUGUAAUGUGUGGUUUUACAGGCCUU
RNAcentral lists this transfer RNA (68 nucleotides) under Hemidactylus gracilis. RNAcentral describes it as "tRNA-Ala". Lineage: Eukaryota; Metazoa; Chordata; Lepidosauria; Squamata; Gekkonidae. The record is from RNAcentral.